AGUGAACGCUGGCGGUAGGCCUAACACAUGCAAGUCGAACGGCAGCACAGUAAGAGCUUGCUCUUACGGGUGGCGAGUGGCGGACGGGUGAGGAAUACAUAGGAAUCUACUUUUUCGUGGGGGAUAACGUAGGGAAACUUACGCUAAUACCGCAUACGACCUACGGGUGAAAGCAGGGGAUCUUCGGACCUUGCGCGAUAGAAUGAGCCGAUGUCGGAUUAGCUAGUUGGCGGGGUAAAGGCACACCAAGGCGACGAUCCGUAGCUGGUCUGAGAGGAUGAUCAGCCACACUGGAACUGAGACACGGUCCAGACUCCUACGGGAGGCAGCAGUGGGGAAUAUUGGACAAUGGGCGCAAGCCUGAUCCAGCCAUACCGCGUGGGUGAAGAAGGCCUUCGGGUUGUAAAGCCCUUUUGUUGGGAAAGAAAAGCAGCAGGUUAAUACCCGGCUGUUCUGACGGUACCCAAAGAAUAAGCACCGGCUAACUUCGUG
RNAcentral lists this ribosomal RNA (492 nucleotides) under uncultured bacterium. RNAcentral's name for it is "partial 16S ribosomal RNA". It matches the Rfam family "Bacterial small subunit ribosomal RNA", at positions 29 to 507 of the family's 1533-position model. The record is from RNAcentral.